Molecule: long non-coding RNA, 441 nt
Filed under: Apteryx rowi (Okarito brown kiwi)
Lineage: Eukaryota; Metazoa; Chordata; Aves; Apterygiformes; Apterygidae
Description: lncRNA (ENSARWG00000010041.1)
Source: RNAcentral
CCACUACCUGCACUCAGACAGUAGAAGGAAAUAAAAUAAGAUCAAAGUCUGGUUUUACUGGGGAAAAAUCUUGCUGUAUAGUGGGGGUUCUUGGGCUCUUAGGAAGCAGGGGAGGAUGCAGGAAAAAUGAAGGGUACAUUUGCUACCAAAAUCUUGUGCAACUUUUUUCUUGCUCUCUCUCUCUUUGGAAGAGACUUUUUUGCAGUCAGCUGGGGAGACUUCCCCUGCCCAUCUUAUCAAGAGCAGGAGCAUGUAAAUGAGCAUAUUGAUAAGAAAAGGCUAUAUUUCAUAAGCCAUGGAAGAGCCUGUGCCUAUAUGAAGAGAUAUAUAGUCCUCUAUAGUUUAGGUACCCUCAGCCAAGAUCUGUGCUCCAUUAUCAAGAGAGCUAUACAAACUCAGAGACAGCACCCAUCCGGAAGAAUUUACACUCAAAACAGAUGA